CACCUCGACUGCGAAUUACUGUUUAUGAGGUGACUUGCUGGUUCUAUCGGUGGACAGUGGGACAUUCUGAAGGGAGGCAAGGAGGCGGACUGAGCGCUCCCAAUUGGGGUGAGCCCGCCCGAGCGGAGAGUGGACGGCGGGUGCCCAGGGGGCGGGGCUUUCGGCUGUGGGGUUCGGUCGUAGGGCGGGAACUCCCCAACUGGGGUGCGCUGGCGCUCGAAGGGGGCGGGGCCACAGGCUGCGAGGCUGCCGGGAGCCGAUGACGCCCGAACGCCGAACCUAUGGCGUCCGGGAGGAGGCGGGGCUGCGGAUUCGGCCGAGCCGAGAACACCCGAACGUCAAAUUGCUGGCGUUCGAAAAGGGGGCGGGGCUGCGGAUUCGGUGGAGCCGAGGACGCCCGAAUGCCGAACUUCCUGUGCUCGGGAGGGGGCAGGGUUUUGUACUGUGGGAGUCUGAGAGCGAGGAGGUCCGAAAGCCGAAUCACAGUCGUUCGGAAAGAGGAGGAGCGAAGGCCCGAGCGUCCGGAAGAGGGUGUGGCCUCGGCGGUGCCUUAGCCUCCAGAGCUUCUGACCGCUGACGGGAACACCCGAAGGGUGACGCCCACUUUGCAAGAGGGUGGUGCCAAAAUGGUCCUUUGUAAGGGGGCGUGUCGCCGCGCUUGCGGAGGUUUGUUUUUCACACUCCAAGGCGCAAUGGUAGGUACGGCAGUGCGGGCACAGAGCGGGUGCCGACCGCAGGGUCACAAGGGUAGAGCGAGGUCCCGGGGGCUUGGCGAGGGGCGAGGGUCGGGGGUUUGUCUCCGGCGGCCGCGAGGCCUGGUGGGAUCGCCCGGGGGCGGGGCCUGGCGCUCGGGCCCAGCAGGUGGUGAACGGCGGCUGAGCGAGGCCCCGCCCCCUGAGGCCUAGGGGCGGGGCUUCGCCGAGACCCCGGAGGCUUUGGGUGCUCUGCAGCGGUCCGCGGCGCGCAGCUGUUUCGGUAACUGCUUUGCCUCCCGGCUCCCGCAGGAGGAUGCUGGUGGUGGAGGUGGCGAACGGCCGCUCCCUGGUGUGGGGAGCCGAGGCGGUGCAGGCCCUCCGGGAGCGCCUGGGUGUGGGGGGCCGCACGGUAGGCGCCCUGCCCCGCGGGCCCCGCCAGAACUCGCGCCUGGGCCUCCCGCUGCUGCUGAUGCCCGAAGAGGCGCGGCUCUUGGCCGAGAUCGGCGCCGUGACUCUGGUCAGCGCCCCGCGUCCAGACUCUCGGCACCACAGCCUGGUAAGGGGGCGGGGCUCGAACUCCUGGGUUCGGUGGGAGCGGGACCUGGGAGUCAAGUUUCCUGGCUUCCGAAGGGACCAUAAGCUUGGAGGUUCCAGCGAAGUGUGCUUCUCAGGCCCUGACAUCCUUCAAGCGCCAGCAAGAGGAGAGCUUCCAGGAGCAGAGCGCCUUGGCAGCUGAGGCCCGGGAGACCCGUCGUCAGGAGCUCCUGGAGAAGAUUACGGAGGGCCAGGCUGCUAAGAAGCAGAAACUAGAACAGGCUUCAGGGGCCAGCUCGAGCCAGGAGGCCGGCUCGAGCCAGGCUGCCAAAGAGGAUGAGACCAGUGAUGGCCAGGCUUCGGGAGAGCAGGAGGAAGCCGGCCCCUCGUCUUCCCAAGCAGGACCCUCAAAUGGGGUAGCCCCCUUGCCCAGAUCUGCUCUCCUUGUCCAGCUGGCCACUGCCAGGCCUCGACCGGUCAAGGCCAGGCCCCUGGACUGGCGUGUCCAGUCUAAAGACUGGCCCCACGCUGGCCGCCCUGCCCACGAGCUGCGCUACAGUAUCUACAGAGACCUGUGGGAGCGAGGCUUCUUCCUCAGUGCGGCUGGCAAGUUCGGAGGUGACUUCCUGGUCUAUCCUGGUGACCCCCUCCGCUUCCACGCCCAUUAUAUCGCUCAGUGCUGGGCCCCCGAGGACACCAUCCCACUCCAAGACCUGGUUGCUGCUGGGCGCCUUGGAACCAGCGUCAGAAAGACCCUGCUCCUCUGUUCUCCGCAGCCUGAUGGUAAGGUGGUCUACACCUCCCUGCAAUGGGCCAGCCUGCAGUGAACUCCAGAGACCUAGGGGAUGUGGCUGUGUCGGCAGCAAGAGCCUUUCUGGAUGUUCCCCAGCUCUUCUCUAGGAGUCUAGAACAUCCUCCUACCUUUCUCCGCGGUUAGUUUUUGAUUCCAGGUUUUCGAACACUACAUCUUUUUUAUGUUCUUCCUUGUUUCAAAGCACUUAUUGGCUGUGUUUUUGUAGUUACCUAUUUUCACACUGUGAGCUUCCCGAGAAUGGGGCCUGGGUUUGAUUCAUCUGUUUUCUACAGGGUUUAAGUCUCAGGAGGUCUCAAUAAACUUGUUACAUAAAUGUU
Molecule: small RNA, 2360 nt
Filed under: Pan troglodytes (chimpanzee)
Lineage: Eukaryota; Metazoa; Chordata; Mammalia; Primates; Hominidae
Description: retained intron
Source: RNAcentral